This 253-nucleotide ribosomal RNA is filed under the name uncultured bacterium. RNAcentral's name for it is "partial 16S ribosomal RNA". It matches the Rfam family "Bacterial small subunit ribosomal RNA", at positions 524 to 776 of the family's 1533-position model. The record is from RNAcentral.
UACGAAGGGGGCUAGCGUUGCUCGGAAUCACUGGGCGUAAAGGGUGCGUAGGCGGGUCUUUAAGUCAGGGGUGAAAUCCUGGAGCUCAACUCCAGAACUGCCUUUGAUACUGAAGGUCUUGAGUUCGGGAGAGGUGAGUGGAACUGCGAGUGUAGAGGUGAAAUUCGUAGAUAUUCGCAAGAACACCAGUGGCGAAGGCGGCUCACUGGCCCGAUACUGACGCUGAGGUGCGAAAGCGUGGGGAGCAAACAGG